This 467-nucleotide ribosomal RNA is filed under the name uncultured bacterium. RNAcentral describes it as "bacterial SSU rRNA". It matches the Rfam family "Bacterial small subunit ribosomal RNA", at positions 355 to 825 of the family's 1533-position model. The record is from RNAcentral.
UAGGGAAUAUUGGACAAUGGGUGAGAGCCUGAUCCAGCCAUGCCGCGUGCAGGAAGAAGGCGUUAUGCGUUGUAAACUGCUUUUUGCCAGGGGAUAAAAAGACCGUGCGCGGUUAAUUGAAGGUACCUGGUGAAUAAGCCACGGCUAACUACGUGCCAGCAGCCGCGGUAAUACGUAGGUGGCAAGCGUUGUCCGGAUUUAUUGGGUUUAAAGGGUGCGUAGGCGGUUUAUUAAGUCAGUGGUGAAAGACGGUCGCUCAACGAUUGCAGUGCCAUUGAUACUGGUAGACUUGAGUAUGAUUGAGGUAGCUGGAAUGGAUAGUGUAGCGGUGAAAUGCAUAGAUAUUAUCCAGAACACCAAUUGCGUAGGCAAGUUACUAAGUCAUAACUGACGCUGAGGCACGAAAGUGUGGGUAUCAAACAGGAUUAGAUACCCGGGUAGUCCCUGAGCGGGCUGGCAAGGCGCAU